AAUGGGCGAAACGUGACGGAGCAACGCCGCGUGAGUAAUGAAGGUCUUCGGAUCGUAAAACUCUGUUAUUAGGGAAGAACAAAUGUGUAAGUAACUAUGCACGUCUUGACGGUACCUAAUCAGAAAGCCACGGCUAACUACGUGCCAGCAGCCGCGGUAAUACGUAGGUGGCAAGCGUUAUCCGGAAUUAUUGGGCGUAAAGCGCGCGUAGGCGGUUUUUUAAGUCUGAUGUGAAAGCCCACGGCUCAACCGUGGAGGGUCAUUGGAAACUGGAAAACUUGAGURCAGAAGAGGAAAGUGGAAUUCCAUGUGUAGCGGUGAAAUGCGCAGAGAUAUGGAGGAACACCAGUGGCGAAGGCGACUUUCUGGUCUGUAACUGACGCUGAUGUGCGAAAGCGUGGGGAUCAAACAGGAUUAGAUACCCUGGUAGUCCACGCCGUAAACGAUGAGUGCUAAGUGUUAGGGGGUUUCCGCCCCUUAGUGCUGCAGCUAACGCAUUAAGCACUCCGCCUGGGGAGUACGACCGCAAGGUUG
Molecule: ribosomal RNA, 534 nt
Filed under: uncultured eubacterium E2-K2
Lineage: Bacteria
Description: bacterial SSU rRNA
Rfam family: Bacterial small subunit ribosomal RNA
Source: RNAcentral